GAUGAAGAACGCAGCGAAAUGCGAUAAGUAAUGUGAAUUGCAGAAUUCAGUGAAUCAUCGAAUCUUUGAACGCACAUUGCGCCCGCCAGUAUUCUGGCGGGCAUGCCUGUUCGAGCGUCAUUUCAACCAUCAAGCCCCCGGCUUGUGUUGGGGACCUGCGGCUGCCGCAGGCCCUGAAAAGCAGUGGCGGGCUCGCUGUCACACCGAGCGUAGUAGCAUACAUCUCGCUCUGGGCGUGCUGCGGGUUCCGGCCGUUAAACCACCUUCAUAACCCAAGGUUGACCUCGGAUCAGGUAGGAAGACCCGCUGAACUUAAGCAUAUCAACAAGCGGAGGA
This 336-nucleotide unclassified non-coding RNA is filed under the name soil metagenome. RNAcentral's name for it is "partial contains 5.8S ribosomal RNA, internal transcribed spacer 2, and large subunit ribosomal RNA". The stretch from base 1 to 120 matches the Rfam family "5.8S ribosomal RNA", at positions 35 to 154 of the family's 154-position model. The record is from RNAcentral.